UGCCGUCGACUUCAACGCGCGCCGCUGCCCGGCUUCAAUGCGCGCCGCAACCGACAUCCGAGAACGGUGCGCGAACAACGCGCCGCAGUCGUCUACCCUACCCACUAUGUCUUAUGACGCAGACGAGUCCCCUCUAUCCCGCACGACCAGACCGAUGCUGAAAAUCCGCACAACGCGCAUUUGCGUAUGAACGUACUUGCUUCGCGUGCACCAGACGUCGUCACCACCACUGGGCACUGGCACCACUCGUCAGUGUGAUCUAUGGUUAGGUAACUGGCACGAGUGUGGUGGAGCCUGGCACCGUCCUGCACUGCGUAGACGCAGCAAUGCCAGCCGCCGCCGGGUCGCUACAACUAAACUGCUACGAUAAUCCACUGCCCCGUUGUUGUAAUUUGAUUUUUUAUAAUUUUUUUAUACUCGUUGAAUCAUUUUAUUGCAAGAAACUAAAUAUCAAUAAUCAAUAUUAGUACAUAUUAUUAGAGUACACUGCAAAGUGUUAAAUUUACUUAAUAUAAUGUUCCCAUCGUGCUAACUAAAUGUAUGCCGUUCCUUCAUUAAGUUACUAUUGAGAUUGGAAAAGGUUAUUCACUAGCAAAAAAAAUCAAAUUGAUGAUUUAUUACCUGUUUGUAUGAAUUAAUGCAUUCAAUUAUUACAAGCAUAUUAUAUACUGAGUUGUUUGAUGGAAUUAUAACAACUACCCAUCAUGUACCAUUUGAACUAAUUCCAUUACUUUUGCAAACAAAUCCGAAAUAAUGGUAAAGAACAACUCAAAUGUUAAAUAAAUAAGUGGUCAAAUCUUAUAGCCGAACUUACAAGGAACACAUAUUUCAUUUUGUUUAGAGGUCUUAGAGAUGCCUAUGUGAGCUUUAGAUACGUUUCAAAAAACCAAGAAGAAUCUAGAACAUUGUGCCCAUAGUUGUAUGGAAGAUAAUGCAUUAAGACAUAUUUAUCACCGGCAACUAUUGAAUACAAUUAUUAUAAUUUAUGCUAAUCAUAAAUAAAUACUGUUUUAUCUUACUGCAUUGUAUAUUUAUUAUUUAUAUUAUCAGCAUACUAUAAAUUAUAUGU
Long non-coding RNA from Metopolophium dirhodum (rose-grain aphid), 1069 nucleotides. RefSeq lists it as uncharacterized. Lineage: Eukaryota; Metazoa; Arthropoda; Insecta; Hemiptera; Aphididae. The record is from RefSeq and is a predicted model, not a curated record. The transcript has 5 exons.